Non-coding RNA from Arachis ipaensis, 701 nucleotides. Lineage: Eukaryota; Viridiplantae; Streptophyta; Magnoliopsida; Fabales; Fabaceae. The record is from RefSeq and is a predicted model, not a curated record.
AGCUUCUUCAAUGGUUCUGCCGCGCCGUCCGUAGUUGUCGGCGCCUCCACUCCUUCCUCCUUCCCCCUGUACCGAACUCAUCCUCUUCUAGCUCGGCACGUCGUCCCCAUCUCCCGUGGCUUCUCUGUUUGAGGAUUCAAGCUGCUCGCCGUCGUGUGGUUAGUCGUCUGUGGUUCGUUUCGCCGCUCGCCGUUGUCUCUUCGUCGUCCUGCUCUCCGUCAAAGCAAUUGCUCAGACGUGAUAAUUUUCAAUCUUGCCAGCAUGAGCGAAAGGAUUCCUGGUUGCUUCGAGAGCACCUCGGCUUCUUAGUUAGUUAGCCUUGUUGAGAAGCCAUGGACUACAUGCUUGUAGGUGUAUAACAUCUCUGCUGAUUCUGAUACUGAUUGCAAUGAUGAUUCAAACCAAUUGUGGUGAUCAUUGAAAGUUGCUGGCAUGGUGGACUUCUCCAUGUGGACUAUGUAUAUUUUUUUGGAUUGUUCUAUGUUGUUUCUGCUAUGGUGUGUUUGGCACAGAAAAUCAACUGAAGAGUCUGAAGAAACUUGAAUUUCAACAUCUUCAUUUUGUGACUGUGUUCUUACCAACUAAAUCUUUGGGUUGUGUCUUGUUAUUUUGAUUUGGAUAUGUGGGAAUGUUAAGGUAUUUAUUGUUGUUGAUUUGGAACUCUUGAACUUUUAUAUAUCAUAUGGGCAAAGAUUCUUUUA